CCCCUAGAUUUUUUUAAUGCAACUUGAGCAUGAAAUAGAGACUCAGCAACUUCAUUGUCAUCUGGAAGCACCGUCCUCAAAACUUCAUAAUCUCUUACAGCCUCCUCCCACUUUUCAAGCUGCAGGCAAUCCAAAAUGGAGUUAGAAACAAAACCCAACUAUCAUGAAUAAGCCAAGCCCAGCAGCAUUCUAAGUAAAGGCAAUUUACCUUACUAUUUGAGGCAGCCCUUCGAAGGAGGGCUUUCGUGUAAGUUGGUUGGAUAAGUAAUGCUUGAUUGCAAUCUUCGAUGGACC
This 294-nucleotide long non-coding RNA is filed under the name Cucumis sativus (cucumber). RNAcentral's name for it is "long non-coding RNA (CSAT_LNC001698)". The record is from RNAcentral. Lineage: Eukaryota; Viridiplantae; Streptophyta; Magnoliopsida; Cucurbitales; Cucurbitaceae.